GUUAUGAAUGGAGCAGGGCGGAUGCCUUGGCACUA
This 35-nucleotide ribosomal RNA is filed under the name Clostridioides difficile. RNAcentral's name for it is "partial 23S ribosomal RNA". Lineage: Bacteria; Bacillati; Bacillota; Clostridia; Peptostreptococcales; Peptostreptococcaceae. The record is from RNAcentral.